Molecule: ribosomal RNA, 292 nt
Filed under: uncultured bacterium
Lineage: Bacteria
Description: partial 16S ribosomal RNA
Rfam family: Bacterial small subunit ribosomal RNA
Source: RNAcentral
GUUUCAGCAGCCGCGGUAACACGUAGGAGACAAGCGUUAUCCGGAUUUACUGGGUGUAAAGCGCGUGUAGGCGGCUCUGUAAGUUGGAUGUGAAAGCUCCUGGCUUAACUGGGAGAGGUUGUUCAAGACUGCAGGGCUUGAGGGUAACAGAGGGGAGUGGAAUUCCGAGUGUAGCGGUAAAAUGCAUAGAUAUUCGGAAGAACACCAGUGGCGAAAGCGGCUCUCUGGGUUACAUCUGACGCUCAGACGCGAAAGCUAGGGGAGCAAACGGGAUUAGAUACCCUUGUAGUCC